GACGAACGCUGGCGGCGUGCCUAAUACAUGCAAGUAGAACGCACAGUUUAUACCGUAGCUUGCUACACCAUAGACUGUGAGUUGCGAACGGGUGAGUAACGCGUAGGUAACCUGCCUGGUAGCGGGGGAUAACUAUUGGAAACGAUAGCUAAUACCGCAUAAUAUUGAUUAUUGCAUGAUAAUUAAUUGAAAGGUGCAAUUGCACCACUACCAGAUGGACCUGCGUUGUAUUAGUUAGUAGGUGAGGUAACGGCUCACCUAGGCGACGAUACAUAGCCGACCUGAGAGGGGGAUCGGCCACACUGGGACUGAGACACGGCCCAGACUCCUACGGGAGGCAGCAGGAGGGAAUCUUCGGCAAUGGACGAAAGGCUGACCGAGCAACGCCGCGGGAGGGAAGAAGGGUUUCGGAUCGUAAAGCUCUGUUGUAAGAGAAGAACGGGUGUGAGAGUGGAAAGUUCACACUGUGACGGUAGCUUACCAGAAAGAGACGGCUAACUACGUG
Molecule: ribosomal RNA, 505 nt
Filed under: uncultured bacterium
Lineage: Bacteria
Description: partial 16S ribosomal RNA
Rfam family: Bacterial small subunit ribosomal RNA
Source: RNAcentral